RNAcentral lists this small RNA (78 nucleotides) under Flavobacterium sp. 1. Its description in RNAcentral is "Flavo-1 RNA". It matches the Rfam family "Flavo-1 RNA". The record is from RNAcentral. Lineage: Bacteria; Pseudomonadati; Bacteroidota; Flavobacteriia; Flavobacteriales; Flavobacteriaceae.
CGCUAGCCCUGAUCGAAGUGGAAAUCCUUGUUGCCAGGGGUUCGGGCAACAAGAUUGUAAUGUAGAUCAGGAAUCCUA